RNAcentral lists this unclassified non-coding RNA (203 nucleotides) under uncultured Sporidiobolales. RNAcentral describes it as "sequence contains ITS2". The record is from RNAcentral. Lineage: Eukaryota; Fungi; Basidiomycota; Microbotryomycetes; Sporidiobolales.
AACUCUCAACCCCCUCAUUUUGUAAUGAAAUGAGUUGUGGGCUUGGUUUAUGGCUGUUGCCGGCUUAAGUGCCGACUCAGCUGAAAUACACGAGCAACCCAGUUUGAAUACUUGACGGCUUGACUCGGCGUAAUAAUUAUUAUCGCUGAGGACGUCUAGCCUUCAAAUCGUUAGUGGUGCUUCUAAUGCAAAUCAUUUUAAGA